Non-coding RNA from Pelobates cultripes (western spadefoot toad), 205 nucleotides. Lineage: Eukaryota; Metazoa; Chordata; Amphibia; Anura; Pelobatidae. The record is from the annotation of a GenBank genome assembly.
CUGCAACGUUCAAGGCAGAGGUGAGGGUAGUAUUAUAUGUGGAGAUGGCCAGUGAGGGACAGGAGAGGGAAGGGAUGGAUAGCAAUUGUGAAUCAACAUCAGCUGACAGCUGCUGGAGGUCAAUACAAUUAAGGUUCCUCCUGAGUUGAGGGUGGUUAGGCUGAGGUUGUUGAGUGAGGGGGUACUUGAGAGCAAACGAUAAGAG